CUCCAGAGGGAGAACAGCCCCACUUGGGCCGCCUUAUGGGUCUGUUGACCAGGAAGAAGCCUUUGUAGACAGGGAAGUAGAAAGGAACUGGCAGUGAAUGGGUGCUGAGGAGCCAAGACCCGACCGACCGGGACAAUAGAUGGGGGGAGGCGUUGAGGCCGGAGAGGCUAGAGGAGAAAGCCAUCUGGAGACCUUUGGAAAGUGAAGAAGACAGAGGCUUUGACUGUUAAUACAGAACAAGCCUUUAGUCCCAGCACUCAGGCUGCCCUCUGCUGGUUGCAUAUAGAGGAGCUACUAGAAAGGAUGGCACUCUGGGGCCAGAAACCAGGAGGCUUGAGGCGGAGCCACAGAAGAGGGUCCUGGGACCUGAGAGCACUGUGUUUCCCGCUCACACAAGCGACAGAGGCUACCAUGAUGGCAUAAUGUACUGCAAUCUUUUCUGGAGAAGAAUGUUUAAGAAGCCAUAAAUGAUGUGGGAGUCUCUGUGUGCUGUGAUUACCAUUAAUGAAUAAAGAAACUGCUUUGGACCUAUAGCAAGGCAGAACUUAGCUAGGCAGGGGAAAGCUAGGCUGAAUGCUGGGAGGAAGAACGGUGGAGUCAGUGAGAAGCCAUGAAUCCUCUGGAGACAGACGCUGGUAUCUUUAGCCUGCAAGCCACUGUCACAUGGCUAUACACAUAUUAAUAGAAAUGGAUUAAAAGAAAUAGAAAUAAGAGUUAGCCAAUAAGAAGUUAGAGCUAAUGGACCAAGCAGUGAUUUAAUUAAUACAA
This is a long non-coding RNA of Alexandromys fortis (reed vole), 768 nucleotides long. RefSeq lists it as uncharacterized. The transcript has 3 exons. Lineage: Eukaryota; Metazoa; Chordata; Mammalia; Rodentia; Cricetidae. The record is from RefSeq and is a predicted model, not a curated record.